RNAcentral lists this transfer RNA (72 nucleotides) under Heterocephalus glaber (naked mole-rat). It matches the Rfam family "tRNA". Rfam says of the family: Transfer RNA (tRNA) molecules are approximately 80 nucleotides in length. Their secondary structure includes four short double-helical elements and three loops (D, anti-codon, and T loops). The record is from Rfam by way of RNAcentral. Lineage: Eukaryota; Metazoa; Chordata; Mammalia; Rodentia; Bathyergidae.
GUGGAUGCAGCUCAAUGACAGAGCAUGUGCUUAGCAUGCAUUAGGCCUUGGGUUCAAUCCCCAGCAUUCAAG